UAUUCUCUUAAAAGAUAAGAUGUCUCAAGAAGAAAGUGAAUUGGAACAUUGUUUAUUGUCCAGGAAGGGGAUUGUGAUCCUCUUCAACAAUUCUCCCUCCAAUGAUUCUCCAAGCAAAUAUAUAUCCUUAGAUGUUAGGUUGUGUAUGUAUAUGAUCGAAGAGAAACAGAUACAACAGUCAACAACGAACAAGCCUAAACCGGCUGAACAAGGGCAAAGGCCUUAGACCUCCUUACCGAUCAGAACAGACGGGGGAUAAAACAAGCCAACCUUAUAUAUAAGGAACCCGGUAAACCCAAUCUUGAUUCUUGAUGGGGAAAAAUCGUCUGUGGAGCCGAGAUCUGGAGUAAACUGGUGGAGAAGAUUUUAGCUGGUGACAUGUGGUGCUCGCAGAUCCAACAGUUGAGGACGAAUAUUAAUUUAGGUCGCAAAAGCGCCGUCGUAUAUGCCGGAUCCGCCUUCGAAGACGAGAACCCUAUCCGAUUGGUAUCUGACGGCGUCCUACACUUCCAAUUCUCCCUCCUCCGCACCGUCGGCGACACUCGACACUCUAUCUCCUUCGCUCGUUUUGCCUGGAGGGGAAGAGGUAAGAAACGGCGGAUGAGACAAAGCUUCGUUUUAGGAUUUUUGCCGAGAACCUCGUCUUCGUGGUAGCCAUUAAGGAAUCUAUGAGAAAGAACAAAAGAUGAAAUUGACGAAUUCAUUUAUCAGUUACUGGAUGUGACAGGGGAUGGCAUCUUGAGCAGGUAAAAUCAUAUCCGACCAUAACCUCUGGCGCUAGUGAGACUUUGCUGCCAUUUUCUUUAAACGAUAGGGGUAUAUUGAAGCCUAGCCUGAUUAUAUUUGCAAAUUAUAGAUAAAAUCUUCUAGAAAGAAGAAUUGGCAGUGUUGAAUUCACUGCUUAUUAGAAUGUCGGAGUCAUAAUCUCUCCUUUUUUUUUUUAUGAGAUUCUUUUUAUCAUUUUUGCAAUUUGUGCCUGUUUACUCAAAAUUGCAGUCUCCAAGUGAAGGCAAAUUUACCUGGUCAACACCAACCUCAUCAAUGCCCUCUUGAGUAGUUGCGGCAUCCCUAUUCCCUUCAAUGAGAGGUUGUGGGUUCAAACCCAUUAAAUUGGGAGUCUUUUCUAAUAUGAGUAGUUUCUUACUGGUCAUGGCAGUUCAUCCUGUGCUUUUUCAACCCAUUAACCUUCCUAUCAAAUGGAAAAAAAACAAUGAAAUAAAAUAAAACCUCCACUUUCGGGGGAGAUAAUUGAGGUACUUAUUAAGAGAACAGGUGUGUUUCCCAGAAAAUGAGACAGACUACUAUGAAAUAUCACUAUAACUUAGAAGGGAUGUUGUUCAGUGCAAGCGAGCAUUAUCGUGAGGCCGCGAUUCUCUCUCCAAAAGAUUCUAAGGGUUUGAUGCUCUCGGGGUUUGCAUUGUAUGAACUAGGGGAGUGUAGAGCGGCAGAGAAUUCAUUGGAGGAGGCAGUGUUCAGGAGCCCAAAAGACUCUGAAGCCCAUUAUAUUCUUGGGUUGGUUUUUCGUGCAGUGGGGGAAGAUGAGAGAACAAUUGAUCUAAAUCCCAACCAUUUGGGUGCGCUGUAAAACCUUGGUUGCUUGUUUCAGGAGAUGGGUCGGUAUCAUAGAGCAGCAGAGUUGUAUGGGAGAGUUGGGUUUCCGGCAAACUUUUGGCGUGCUCGGGCAAACCAAGUAGUCUCAUUGUGCUGAGCAGGGGAAAUUGUGGAUGCGAAGAAAGCGUCGAAAGAAUUGAGGAAGGGCCUCCACUAGAUGACAGGCGCUGUUGAGGUAUAUUCUACUUUGAGAUAUAUGGUUGAUGCAAAUGAUCAUCAGUUGCAGAAGAAGAUGAAGAAGAAGAAGAAUCAUGGUGGCCUCUUGAGUAGUACAUUAGCUAAAUUCAAACGGCAUGUGAGAAAACCAUAAGAAGGGAGUGUCUUGCCGAUGCCCUUAUUCGUCACAACAAGGAGUUCCAGAGGAACACUAAACUUAAUCUUUGUGAUGUUUCUCUUCCGAGUUAAGGAGACAUGUGGAUCUAAAGAAGAAAGGAAAGCAGGGAAUUCAAUAAGUAAGGCAGCAUUAGAGGUGAUUUUGGGGAAGUGGCUUCACUUUCUAAAAUCAAAAGUUUUUCAGUUGGCAGUUAAAGAAAUUAAUCAAAAAAUUUUUUCAGUCUUGGAUUCUACCAGGUCUGGGCGAGUGGAAUUUGGCAUGUUCUAUGCUGUCUUUGCUCCCACCUGUGCUGGGGAACCAAAGAAUUGCAAGCGUGCCUCCUUUGAUGCUCUAUUAUGGCAGUCGAGGUGGAGGGAGGGUCGAGAUGUGAUGGAAAAGGUUGAUGCUUUGAAGUAUAUGAGGUACUUGAGACUCCUUUAUUUCCCUUCUCAAGGAUAUAGUACUACCGACCUAUUGGUAGGCCAUGUAGAAGAGGAGAACACAAUGAUUUCAUUUUGCAAUAGUAGCAGGGAGAGGGUUCUAUGAGCGAAUAGGAUACUCUACACUUUACCAAAAAGAAAGAAAAAAAAAAAGGUUUCUGCACUUUCUCACAAUAAUUUUGUUAAUUAUUUU
Molecule: long non-coding RNA, 2557 nt
Organism: Macadamia integrifolia
Lineage: Eukaryota; Viridiplantae; Streptophyta; Magnoliopsida; Proteales; Proteaceae
Exons: 4
Source: RefSeq, a predicted model, not a curated record